RNAcentral lists this non-coding RNA (30 nucleotides) under Rattus norvegicus (Norway rat). The record is from RNAcentral. Lineage: Eukaryota; Metazoa; Chordata; Mammalia; Rodentia; Muridae.
UAACCCAGGAUUGCUUGGUGCAUGAAAUAA